AGGCAUACAAGACCCUAACUUCAUUGAAGGGUGUGACUGCCUUUGGAUUUGAUUUGGUUCGUGGCACCAAGACCCUUGAUUUGGUCAAGGCAGGUUUCCCUGAGGGAAAGUACCUCUUUGCUGGUGUUGUUGAUGGAAGGAACAUCUGGGCCAAUGACUUUGCUGCGUCUCUCAGCACCUUGCAGGCACUUGAGGGCAUUGUUGGUAAAGGUAAUUGUUCUUCCAAAAUCAUCUGCCUUUUACCUGACAUUACUAGGGAAUUAUUCAAAAACAAAUAUAUGGAAUGUUGAUCUGUUGUCUAUCUGAUGCAGACAAGCUUGUGGUCUCAACCUCCUGUUCUCUUCUCCACACCGCUGUUGAUCUUAUCAAUGAGACUAAGCUUGAUGAUGAAAUCAAGUCAUGGCUGGCGUUUGCUGCUCAGAAGGUUGUUGAAGUGAACGCAUUGGCUAAGGCUUUGGCUGGUCAGAAGGAUGAGGUAUUUUACCCGCAUGCUUCUCUAGUAGUGGACCCUUGAAUUAUCUGUACUGUAAAUGAGCGAAAGUACUAGAACUCAAUAUUUUUUCUCUUUCAGGCCCUUUUCUCUGCCAAUGCUGCGGCUUUGGCUUCAAGGAGAUCUUCCCCAAGAGUCACCAACGAGGGUGUCCAGAAGGCUGUAAGUUUGAUGUCAAACUGAUGCACUGUUCUCACUCAAUGAUUUAUUUUCCUAAUCUUGUAUUCAUUGAGAUAGUUUCUUAUUCUUGUUAUCUCAGGCUGCUGCUUUGAAGGGAUCUGACCACCGUCGUGCAACUAAUGUUAGUGCUAGGCUAGAUGCUCAGCAGAAGAAGCUCAACCUCCCAAUCCUGCCAACCACAACCAUUGGAUCCUUCCCACAGACCGUAGAGCUCAGGAGAGUUCGCCGUGAGUACAAGGCGAAAAAGUUAGUCUCCUGAAUUUAGUCCUUGGGCUUAUGCGUUACACAUUUCCUUAAAUUGUUGUGAUGCUAACGGUUUCUCUAAUCUCUCUUAUACUAGGGUCUCUGAGGAGGACUACGUUAAGGCCAUCAAGGAAGAGAUCAAGAAAGUUGUUGACCUCCAAGAGGAACUUGACAUCGAUGUUCUUGUCCACGGAGAGCCAGAGGUGAGUUUUUUAUUCUAUGUUUUUGCCUGAAGCCUUGAAGUGGAGGGAAUGUACAAAAGUUAUUUCUGGUAGUCCUUUUUACUGUUUCUGAUGAGACAUAUUUUCACAAUUUUGUAGAGAAACGACAUGGUUGAGUACUUCGGGGAGCAGUUGUCUGGUUUUGCCUUCACUGCAAACGGAUGGGUCCAAUCUUAUGGAUCUCGCUGUGUGAAGCCACCAGUUAUCUACGGUGAUGUGAGCCGUCCCAAGGCAAUGACCGUCUUCUGGUCCGCAAUGGCUCAGAGCAUGACCUCUCGCCCAAUGAAGGGUAUGCUUACCGGUCCCGUCACCAUUCUCAACUGGUCCUUCGUCAGAAACGACCAGCCCAGGUACAUAAUGUUACCAUAAUCUAAAAACAAAUAUGACUACCAAAUAAAGAACAAAACACUAAAACAAUCUUGGAAUCAUUGUAGGCACGAAACCUGUUACCAGAUCGCUUUGGCCAUCAAGGACGAAGUCGAGGAUCUUGAGAAAGGUGGAAUCGGUGUCAUUCAGAUUGAUGAGGCUGCACUUAGAGAAGGACUACCACUCAGGAAAUCCGAGCAUGCUUUCUACUUGGACUGGGCCGUUCACUCCUUCAGAAUCACCAACUGUGGAGUCCAAGACAGCACCCAGGUUUGCUUAUAUAAAAACUUCUCAUAUCAAGUCUCAUGUAGUGUAAUGAUUUCUCAGUUGCUCAUAACUUGUGUGUUUCUGUUGUUUUUUUUGCAGAUCCACACUCACAUGUGCUACUCUCACUUCAAUGACAUCAUACACUCCAUCAUCGACAUGGAUGCUGAUGUCAUCACCAUUGAGAACUCCAGGUCUGACGAGAAGCUUCUCUCCGUGUUCCGUGAAGGAGUGAAGUACGGUGCUGGAAUUGGUCCAGGAGUCUACGACAUCCACUCUCCAAGAAUACCAUCUUCUGAGGAAAUCGCAGACAGGGUGAACAAGAUGCUUGCUGUCCUAGAGCAGAACAUCCUUUGGGUUAACCCUGACUGUGGUCUCAAGACCCGUAAGUACACCGAGGUUAAGCCUGCGCUCAAGAACAUGGUUGAUGCGGCCAAGCUCAUCCGCUCCCAGCUCGCCAGUGCCAAGUGAAGAUAACCUUGAUUUGAACAAGGAAAACGUCUUUUUUUUUCUAAAAUGGUUGUGUUUUAUUUGGUUUAAUAACUUUCUUAAAAAUAUCUUUAGUCGAAGUUAGAUUUGAUGCAUAUGGUUUCUUUCUUGUUGAGAGAGAGGGAUGA
This 2381-nucleotide long non-coding RNA is filed under the name Arabidopsis lyrata. RNAcentral describes it as "long non-coding RNA (ALYR_LNC001233)". The record is from RNAcentral. Lineage: Eukaryota; Viridiplantae; Streptophyta; Magnoliopsida; Brassicales; Brassicaceae.